RNAcentral lists this ribosomal RNA (495 nucleotides) under uncultured bacterium. RNAcentral's name for it is "partial 16S ribosomal RNA". It matches the Rfam family "Bacterial small subunit ribosomal RNA", at positions 28 to 507 of the family's 1533-position model. The record is from RNAcentral.
GACGAACGCUGGCGGCGUGCCUAAUACAUGCAAGUAGAACGCUGAAGGAGGAGCUUGCUUCUCUGGAUGAGUUGCGAACGGGUGAGUAACGCGUAGGUAACCUGCCUGGUAGCGGGGGAUAACUAUUGGAAACGAUAGCUAAUACCGCAUAAGAGUAGAUGUUGCAUGACAUUUGCUUAAAAGGUGCAAUUGCAUCACUACCAGAUGGACCUGCGUUGUAUUAGCUAGUUGGUGGGGUAACGGCUCACCAAGGCGACGAUACAUAGCCGACCUGAGAGGGUGAUCGGCCACACUGGGACUGAGACACGGCCCAGACUCCUACGGGAGGCAGCAGUAGGGAAUCUUCGGCAAUGGACGGAAGUCUGACCGAGCAACGCCGCGUGAGGGAAGAAGGUUUUCGGAUCGUAAAGCUCUGUUGUAAGAGAAGAACGAGUGUGAGAGUGGAAAGUUCACACUGUGACGGUAUCUGACCAGAAAGGGACGGCUAACUACGUG